This 908-nucleotide ribosomal RNA is filed under the name Psathyrella incerta. RNAcentral describes it as "eukaryotic LSU rRNA". It matches the Rfam family "Eukaryotic large subunit ribosomal RNA", at positions 55 to 949 of the family's 3401-position model. The record is from RNAcentral. Lineage: Eukaryota; Fungi; Basidiomycota; Agaricomycetes; Agaricales; Psathyrellaceae.
GGAAAAGAAACUAACAAGGAUUCCCCUAGUAACUGCGAGUGAAGCGGGAAAAGCUCAAAUUUAAAAUCUGGUGGUCUCUGGCCAUCCGAGUUGUAAUCUAGAGAAGUGUUACCCGCGUCGGACCGUGUAUAAGUCUCCUGGAAUGGAGCGUCAUAGAGGGUGAGAAUCCCGUCUUUGACACGGACUACCGAGGCUUUGUGGUAUGCUCUCAAAGAGUCGAGUUGUUUGGGAAUGCAGCUCAAAAUGGGUGGUAAAUUCCAUCUAAAGCUAAAUAUUGGCGAGAGACCGAUAGCGAACAAGUACCGUGAGGGAAAGAUGAAAAGAACUUUGGAAAGAGAGUUAAACAGUACGUGAAAUUGCUGAAAGGGAAACGCUUGAAGUCAGUCGCGUUGGCCGGGAAUCAGCCUUGCUUUUGCUUGGUGUACUUUCUGGUUGACGGGCCAGCAUCAGUUUUGACCGGUGGAAAAAGUUCAGGGGAAUGUGGCAUCUUCGGGUGUGUUAUAGCCCUUGUUCGUAUACAUCGGUUGGGACUGAGGAACUCAGCACGCCGCAAGGCCGGGUCUUUGACCACGUUCGUGCUUAGGAUGCUGGCAUAAUGGCUUUAAUCGACCCGUCUUGAAACACGGACCAAGGAGUCUAACAUGCCUGCGAGUGUUUGGGUGGAAAACCCGAGCGCGUAAUGAAAGUGAAAGUUGAGAUCCNUGUCAUGGGGAGCAUCGACGCCCGGACCUGACGUUUUCUGACGGCCCUGCGGUAGAGCAUGUAUGUUGGGACCCGAAAGAUGGUGAACUAUGCCUGAAUAGGGUGAAGCCAGAGGAAACUCUGGUGGAGGCUCGUAGCGAUUCUGACGUGCAAAUCGAUCGUCAAAUUUGGGUAUAGGGGCGAAAGACUAAUCGAACCAUCUAGUA